This 253-nucleotide ribosomal RNA is filed under the name uncultured bacterium. Its description in RNAcentral is "partial 16S ribosomal RNA". It matches the Rfam family "Bacterial small subunit ribosomal RNA", at positions 524 to 776 of the family's 1533-position model. The record is from RNAcentral.
UACGUAGGGGGCAAGCGUUGUCCGGAAUCAUUGGGCGUAAAGCGCGUGUAGGCGGUUCGGUAAGUCUGCUGUGAAAGUCCAGGGCUCAACCCUGGGAUGCCGGUGGAUACUGUCGGACUAGAGUACGGAAGAGGCGAGUGGAAUUCCCGGUGUAGCGGUGAAAUGCGCAGAUAUCGGGAGGAACACCGGUGGCGAAGGCGGGACUCUGGGCCGAUACUGACGCUGAGGAGCGAAAGCGUGGGGAGCAAACAGG